GGACGAAAGUCUGACGGAGCAACGCCGCGUGAGUGAUGAAGGUUUUCGGAUCGUAAAGCUCUGUUGUUAGGGAAGAACAAGUGCGAGAGUAACUGCUCGCACCUUGACGGUACCUAACCAGAAAGCCACGGCUAACUACGUGCCAGCAGCCGCGGUAAUACGUAGGUGGCAAGCGUUGUCCGGAAUUAUUGGGCGUAAAGGGCUCGCAGGCGGUUUCUUAAGUCUGAUGUGAAAGCCCUCGGCUCAACCGGGGAGGGUCAUUGGAAACUGGGAAACUUGAGUGCAGAAGAGGAGAGUGGAAUUCCACGUGUAGCGGUGAAAUGCGUAGAGAUGUGGAGGAACACCAGUGGCGAAGGCGACUCUCUGGUCUGUAACUGACGCUGAGGAGCGAAAGCGUGGGGAGCGAACAGGAUUAGAUACCCUGGUAGUCCACGCCGUAAACGAUGAGUGCUAAGUGUUAGGGGGUUUCCGCCCCUUAGUGCUGCAGCUAACGCAUUAAGCACUCCGCCUGGGGAGUACGGUCGCAAGACUGAAACU
Molecule: ribosomal RNA, 537 nt
Filed under: uncultured bacterium
Lineage: Bacteria
Description: bacterial SSU rRNA
Rfam family: Bacterial small subunit ribosomal RNA
Source: RNAcentral